GACCGCGUAGCUCAGUUGGCAGAGCAUCGGGCUGGUAUUCCAAAGGUCGUAGGUUCGAUUCCCACCGUGGCCA
This 73-nucleotide transfer RNA is filed under the name Paramuricea clavata. It matches the Rfam family "tRNA". From Rfam's summary of the family: Transfer RNA (tRNA) molecules are approximately 80 nucleotides in length. Their secondary structure includes four short double-helical elements and three loops (D, anti-codon, and T loops). Lineage: Eukaryota; Metazoa; Cnidaria; Anthozoa; Malacalcyonacea; Plexauridae. The record is from Rfam by way of RNAcentral.